CAGAAAAUAGUUAAAUUUAGAAUACUGGCUUUGGGA
RNAcentral lists this transfer RNA (36 nucleotides) under Paramisgurnus dabryanus. RNAcentral's name for it is "partial tRNA-Pro". Lineage: Eukaryota; Metazoa; Chordata; Actinopteri; Cypriniformes; Cobitidae. The record is from RNAcentral.